AGUGGAAGGUGGGGAGAGAUGCUCAGUGGAAGGUGAGGAGAGAUGAUCAGUGGAAGGUGAGGAGAGAUGCUCUCAGUGGAAGGUGAGGAUAAAUGUUCUCAGUGGAAGGUGAGGAGAAAUGUUC
Long non-coding RNA from Salvelinus sp. IW2-2015, 124 nucleotides. RefSeq lists it as uncharacterized. Lineage: Eukaryota; Metazoa; Chordata; Actinopteri; Salmoniformes; Salmonidae. The record is from RefSeq and is a predicted model, not a curated record.